CUGCUAUCGGGAUAGGACUAAGACAUGCUAGUCAAGCGCUUCCCAGCCAAAGGGAAGUGCGGCACACAGCUCAGUAGCACGUGGCUAACCUGCCCUUGGGAUAGGGACAACCCCGGGAAACUGGGGCUAAUUCCUAAUAAGCGAAGAGCUCUGGAAUGAGCCUUCACUCGAAACGAUUUUUGCACUAUGCUUGCAGAUUUCGCCCUAGGAUGGGGCCGCGACCGAUCAGGUUGUUGGUGAGGUAACGGCUCACCAAGCCUAUAACCGGUGCGGGCCGUGGGAGCGGGAGCCCGGAGAUGGGUACUGAGACAAGGACCCAGGCCCUACGGGGCGCAGCAGUCGCGCAAACUUUGCAAUACACGAAAGUGUGACAGGGCUAUCCCGAGUGCCGUCCGCUGAGGAUGGCUUUUACCCAGUCUAGAAAGCUGGGGGAAUAAGGAGAGGGCAAGUCUGGUGUCAGCCGCCGCGGUAAUACCAGCUCUCCGAGUGGUGUGGAUGUUUAUUGGGCCUAAAGCAUCCGUAGCUGGCCAAGUUAGUCCCUUGUUAAACCCACCGAAUUAAUCGUUGGAUUGCGGGGGAUACUGCUCGGCUAGGGGACGGGAGAGGCAGACGGUAUUUUCGGGGUAGGGGUGGUCGCAAGAUU
This 643-nucleotide ribosomal RNA is filed under the name uncultured archaeon. Its description in RNAcentral is "bacterial SSU rRNA". It matches the Rfam family "Archaeal small subunit ribosomal RNA", at positions 27 to 647 of the family's 1478-position model. The record is from RNAcentral.